RNAcentral lists this unclassified non-coding RNA (340 nucleotides) under soil metagenome. Its description in RNAcentral is "partial contains 5.8S ribosomal RNA, internal transcribed spacer 2, and large subunit ribosomal RNA". The stretch from base 1 to 121 matches the Rfam family "5.8S ribosomal RNA", at positions 35 to 154 of the family's 154-position model. The record is from RNAcentral.
GAUGAAGAACGGCAGCGAAAUGCGAUAACUAAUGUGAAUUGCAGAAUUCAGUGAAUCAUCGAGUCUUUGAACGCACAUUGCGCCCCCUGGUAUUCCGGGGGGCAUGCCUGUCCGAGCGUCAUUGCUGCCCUCAAGCACGGCUUGUGUGUUGGGCUCCGUCCCCCCGGGGACGGGCCCGAAAGGCAGCGGCGGCACCGAGUCCGGUCCUCGAGCGUAUGGGGCUUUGUCACCCGCUCUGUAGGCCCGGCCGGCGCCAGCCGACAACCCAUCAUCCUUUUCAGGUUGACCUCGGAUCAGGUAGGGAUACCCGCUGAACUUAAGCAUAUCAAUAAGCGGAGGA